GGAAGCUUAGCUCAGCUGGUUCAGAGCAUCUGCCUUACAAGCAGAGGGUCACAGGUUCGAACCCUGUAGCUUCCA
RNAcentral lists this transfer RNA (75 nucleotides) under Bacteroidota bacterium. RNAcentral's name for it is "Bacteroidetes bacterium (activated sludge metagenome) tRNA-Val". It matches the Rfam family "tRNA". From Rfam's summary of the family: Transfer RNA (tRNA) molecules are approximately 80 nucleotides in length. Their secondary structure includes four short double-helical elements and three loops (D, anti-codon, and T loops). Further hydrogen bonds mediate the characteristic L-shaped molecular structure. tRNAs have two regions of fundamental functional importance: the anti-codon, which is responsible for specific mRNA codon recognition, and the 3' end, to which the tRNAs corresponding amino acid is attached (by aminoacyl-tRNA synthetases). tRNAs cope with the degeneracy of the genetic code in two manners: having more than one tRNA (with a specific anti-codon) for a particular amino acid; and 'wobble' base-pairing, i.e. permitting non-standard base-pairing at the 3rd anti-codon position. Lineage: Bacteria; Pseudomonadati; Bacteroidota. The record is from RNAcentral.